AGUGAACGCUGGCGGUAGGCCUAACACAUGCAAGUCGAACGGCAGCACAGUAAGAGCUUGCUCUUACGGGUGGCGAGUGGCGGACGGGUGAGGAGUACAUCGGAAUCUACUUUUUCGUGGGGGAUAACGUAGGGAAACUUACGCUAAUACCGCAUACGACCUACGGGUGAAAGCAGGGGAUCUUCGGACCUUGCGCGAUUGAAUGAGCCGAUGUCGGAUUAGCUAGUUGGCGGGGUAAAGGCCCACCAAGGCGACGAUCCGUAGCUGGUCUGAGAGGAUGAUCAGCCACACUGGAACUGAGACACGGUCCAGACUCCUACGGGAGGCAGCAGUGGGGAAUAUUGGACAAUGGGCGCAAGCCUGAUCCAGCCAUACCGCGUGGGUGAAGAAGGCCUUCGGGUUGUAAAGCCCUUUUGUUGGGAAAGGAAAGCAGCAGGUUAAUACCCCGCUGUUCUGACGGUACCCAAAGAAUAAGCACCGGCUAACUUCGUG
Molecule: ribosomal RNA, 492 nt
Filed under: uncultured bacterium
Lineage: Bacteria
Description: partial 16S ribosomal RNA
Rfam family: Bacterial small subunit ribosomal RNA
Source: RNAcentral